GACAGAGGCCUCGAGCGUUAGGCGGAAUCACUGGGCUUAAAGCGUGUGUAGGCGGGCCCGUAAGUGUCUUGUGAAAUCCCACGGCUCAACCGUGGAACUGCUGGGCAUACUGCGGGUCUUGGGCCAACUAGGGGCAGCCGGAACAAGCGGUGGAGCGGUGAAAUGCGUAGAUAUUCGGAGGAACACCAGUGGCGAAGGCGGCUCACUGGUCCGGUACUGACGCUGAGGUGCGAAAGCGUGGGGAGCAAACAGG
RNAcentral lists this ribosomal RNA (253 nucleotides) under uncultured bacterium. Its description in RNAcentral is "partial 16S ribosomal RNA". It matches the Rfam family "Bacterial small subunit ribosomal RNA", at positions 524 to 776 of the family's 1533-position model. The record is from RNAcentral.